This 449-nucleotide ribosomal RNA is filed under the name uncultured prokaryote. Its description in RNAcentral is "bacterial SSU rRNA". It matches the Rfam family "Bacterial small subunit ribosomal RNA", at positions 355 to 796 of the family's 1533-position model. The record is from RNAcentral.
UGGGGAAUAUUGGACAAUGGGCGAAAGCCUGAUCCAGCCAUGCCGCGUGUGUGAAGAAGGCUCUAGGGUUGUAAAGCACUUUCAGUAGGGAGGAAAAGUUAGUAGUUAAUACCUGCUAACCCUGACGUUACCUACAGAAGAAGCACCGGCAAACUCCGUGCCAGCAGCCGCGGUAAUACGGAGGGUGCGAGCGUUAAUCGGAAUUACUGGGCGUAAAGCGCGCGUAGGUGGCCUGCUAAGCAGGAUGUGAAAGCCCCGAGCUCAACUUGGGAACUGCAUCCUGAACUGGCAAGCUAGAGUAUAGUAGAGGAUAGUGGAAUUUCUGGUGUAGCGGUGAAAUGCGUAGAUAUCAGAAGGAACAUCAGUGGCGAAGGCGACUGUCUGGACUAAUACUGACACUGAGGUGCGAAAGCGUGGGGAGCAAACAGGAUUAGAUACCCCCGUAGUCC